Molecule: ribosomal RNA, 120 nt
Rfam family: Bacterial small subunit ribosomal RNA
CCGGGGGCGCCUGAAGUCCGUGACCGCAAGGGUCGGCCUAGGGCGAAACCGGUGAUUGGGGCUAAGUCGUAACAAGGUAGCCGUACCGGAAGGUGCGGCUGGAACACCUCCUUUCUGGAG